GGUUUGAUUAUGGCUCAGGUGGAACGCUGGCGGGAUGCUUUACAUGCAAGUCGAACGGCGGCACGGACUUCGGUCUGGUGGCGAUGGCGAACGGGUGAGUAAUGUAUCCGGAACGUGCCUAGUAGCGGGGGAUAACUACGCGAAAGCGUAGCUAAUACCACGCCGCCCUUCGGGGAAAGCGGGGGACCUUCGGGCCUCGCACUAUUAGAAGCGGCCGAUAUCGGAUUAGCUGGUUGGUGGGGUAACGGCUCACCAGGCGACGAUCCGUAGCUGGUUUGAGAGGACGACCAGCCACACUGGGACUGGGGCAGCCCAGACUCCUACGGGAGGCAGCAGUGGGGAAUUUUGGACAAUGGAAACCCCGCAGUCCAGCCAUCCCGCGUGUGCGAUGAGGCCUUCGGGUUGUAAGCACUUUUGGCAGGGAAAGAAACGGCUACGGGAUAAUACCCCGUGCAACUGACAGUACCUGCAGAAUGAAAGCACCGGCUAACUACGUGCCAGCAGCCGCGGUAAUACGUAGGGUGCAAGCGUUAAUCAGAAUUACUGGGCGUAAAGCGUGCGCAGGCGGUUCCGGAAAGAAAGAUGUGAAAUCCCAGAGCUUAACUUUGGAGCUUGCAUUUUUAACUACCGAGCUAGAGUGUGUCAGAGGAGGUGGAAUUCCGCGUGUAGCAGUGAAAUGCGUAGAUAUGCGGAGGAACACCGAUGGCGAAGGCAGCCUCCUGGGAUAACACUGACGCUCAUGCACGAAAGCGUGGGGAGCAAACAGGAUUUGAUACCCUGGUAGUCCACGCCUAAACGAUGUCAACUAGCUGUUGGGGCCUUCGGGCCUUGGUAGCACCAAACGCGUGAAGUUGACCGCACAAGAAUACAGUCAUGAAUUAAAACUCAAAAUUGACGGGGACCCGCACAAGCGGUGGAUGAUGUGGUUAAUUCAGUGCAACGCGAAAAACCUUACCUACCCUUGACAUGUCUGGAAUCCCGAAGAGAUUUGGGAGUGCUCGCAAGAGAACCGGAACACAGGUGCUGCAUGGCUGUCGUCAGCUCGUGUCGUGAGAUGUUGGGUUAAGUCCCGCAACGAGCGCAACCCUUGUCAUUAGUUGCUACGAAAGGGCACUCUAAUGAGACUGCCGGUGACAAACCGGAGGAAGGUGAGGACCAACGUCAAGUCCUCAUGGCCCUUAUGGGUAGGGCUUCACACGUCAUACAAUGGUCAGGACAGAGGGUCGCCAACCCGCGAGGGGGAGCCAAUCCCAGAAACCCGAUCGUAGUCCGGAUCGCAGUCUGCAACUCGACUGCGUGAAGUCGGAAUCGCUAGUAAUCGCGGAUCAGCAUGUCGCGGUGAAUACGUUCCCGGGUCUUGUACACACCGCCCGUCACACCAUGGGAGUGGGUUUUACCAGAAGUAGUUAGCCUAACCGUAAGGAGGGCGAUUACCACGGUAGGAUUCAUGACUGGGGUGAAGUCCUUCAGGUAA
RNAcentral lists this ribosomal RNA (1474 nucleotides) under uncultured Bordetella sp. RNAcentral describes it as "partial 16S-23S ribosomal RNA intergenic spacer". It matches the Rfam family "Bacterial small subunit ribosomal RNA". The record is from RNAcentral. Lineage: Bacteria; Pseudomonadati; Pseudomonadota; Betaproteobacteria; Burkholderiales; Alcaligenaceae.